Molecule: transfer RNA, 82 nt
Filed under: Pelodiscus sinensis (Chinese soft-shelled turtle)
Lineage: Eukaryota; Metazoa; Chordata; Testudines; Trionychidae
Rfam family: tRNA
About the family: Transfer RNA (tRNA) molecules are approximately 80 nucleotides in length. Their secondary structure includes four short double-helical elements and three loops (D, anti-codon, and T loops).
Source: Rfam by way of RNAcentral
GAUGAAGUAGCUGAGUGGUUAAGGUGAUGGACUGUUAGUCUAUUAUGCUCUGCAGGCAUGGGUUCAAAUCCCAUUCUCAUUG